AUUGAAAUGGUUUCAGAAGCAGAGACAGAGCAUCCCAUCAAAGCAUUUGGAUGGGCAGCAAGAGACACUUCUGGCAUUCUCUCCCCUUUCAAUUUCUCCAGAAGGGCAACAGGAGAGAAAGAUGUUGCAAUUAAAGUAAUGUACUGUGGAAUAUGUCACUCAGACUUACAUAUGUUAAAGAAUGAGUGGAGCUGUUCAAUCUAUCCUAUUGUUCCUGGACACGAGAUUGCUGGUGUGGUGACAGAGGUGGGAAGCAAGGUGCAAAAGUUAAAAGUUGGAGACAGAGUUGGUGUGGGGUGCAUGGUUGGAUCCUGUAGCUCCUGUCAGAACUGUAGUGAAGAUCAUGAGAAUUACUGCCCCAAAAUGAUUCUCACAUACAGUGCCAAGUAUGUUGAUG
RNAcentral lists this small RNA (397 nucleotides) under Vigna angularis var. angularis. RNAcentral's name for it is "Non-protein coding transcript". Lineage: Eukaryota; Viridiplantae; Streptophyta; Magnoliopsida; Fabales; Fabaceae. The record is from RNAcentral.